Molecule: long non-coding RNA, 692 nt
Organism: Oncorhynchus masou masou (cherry salmon)
Lineage: Eukaryota; Metazoa; Chordata; Actinopteri; Salmoniformes; Salmonidae
Exons: 2
Source: RefSeq, a predicted model, not a curated record
CGACCUACCACCACAGAAAGCACUGAGCUCGACUGAAACACCUGCAUUUUGGAUCUGCCUUACUCAAGAAAACAAACAAGAGACCAAGAUACUUCCCGGGCUUAUGUAGGGCCACACCAUGGAUGUGGGAGAAGAGCAGAGGCAAGUCUCUCGGUAGGGUGUAGCGUGACACAAACCCCAGCUCGGCAGGGAUGUCCUUCUCCUCAGAGUACUCAAAUAUAGCAGCCAUGUACUUGGAGAUGUCUCUCCCCUUGGCUUUGGCACGGCCAAGCUCUUCCCCCAUCAGGGAUACUACGGCUGCAGUGGUGCUUCUGCUUUCCCCCGCAUCUCUCUCCGUUGGACGCCUCUGUAGUCCCCGGGAACAGAUGACCAGAACAAAGUCACUCUCCUGGAUCCUCCUGCAGUGCCAUCCCAUGAUCCCCUCCUCUGCCAAGCUUAGAGAAUCCCACAGGUCCAGAAACACCUGGCGCGACAAUGCAACAACAAAUAAUAUCAUAAUGAUAAUAAAACAAAUAAUAUAAUAUAUUAUAAAUAACAUUUACAUUUGUCCAUUUAAAAUGCAAUUUCAACCAAUAUUUUUUUUUUCUCUAUUUAUUUAACACAGACCAGGGCAGGCGUGCAUUCCAUUUGGGUUCAAAGAUUGGUGUUUCAUAAUGGUUUGAAAUAAAAUAACACGUUUCCCGCCAAAACAA